Molecule: unclassified non-coding RNA, 407 nt
Filed under: Hevea brasiliensis (rubber tree)
Lineage: Eukaryota; Viridiplantae; Streptophyta; Magnoliopsida; Malpighiales; Euphorbiaceae
Source: RNAcentral
GGAGGACUUCCCUGAUUUUGGCAGUCAGGGAAAAAAAAAAAAAAACAAGAGUUAGUACCGUUUAUCCAUGCAAGGAAUGAUCAAAAGCCCUUCCAUACAUCAAUUAGCGUUCAAUUUAUAACAUCAUCAAUAAGCAGAUCCAAACGAAUUGAUGCUCCCAUUGCAAUAAAUAUGCAUGUCUGUGUGUGCGUGUAUUACAUAGAUGUUGGGGAAAGAGAGAGAGAGAGAGAGAUGGAUAGGCAAUCUAGAGCCACAAAAUAAUUGGCAAGCUAUACUUGUACCUCACAACAUAACAGGAUGAGAAAGCCGUGCUAAAGAAUGCCACCACGUUAAAAAUGUAAUGUUCUUUUUCAUUCAUUAAUAACUGUGACAUAAUGAACUUACCUUAAACAAAAGAUCAUAAGCAA